RNAcentral lists this ribosomal RNA (253 nucleotides) under uncultured bacterium. Its description in RNAcentral is "partial 16S ribosomal RNA". It matches the Rfam family "Bacterial small subunit ribosomal RNA", at positions 524 to 776 of the family's 1533-position model. The record is from RNAcentral.
UACGUAGGGUGCAAGCGUUGUCCGGAAUUACUGGGCGUAAAGAGCUCGUAGGCGGUCUGUUGCGUCGGCUGUGAAAACCCGGGGCUCAACUCCGGGCCUGCAGCCGAUACGGGCAGACUAGAGUUCGGCAGGGGAGACUGGAAUUCCUGGUGUAGCGGUGAAAUGCGCAGAUAUCAGGAGGAACACCGGUGGCGAAGGCGGGUCUCUGGGCCGAUACUGACGCUGAGGAGCGAAAGCGUGGGGAGCGAACAGG